GAGGGUAUAGCUUGGUGGUAGAGUGCAUGCCUAACAUGCACAAGGUCCUGGGUUCAGUCCCUAGUACCUCCA
Molecule: transfer RNA, 72 nt
Organism: Camelus ferus (Wild Bactrian camel)
Lineage: Eukaryota; Metazoa; Chordata; Mammalia; Artiodactyla; Camelidae
Rfam family: tRNA
About the family: Transfer RNA (tRNA) molecules are approximately 80 nucleotides in length. Their secondary structure includes four short double-helical elements and three loops (D, anti-codon, and T loops).
Source: Rfam